This 1095-nucleotide long non-coding RNA is filed under the name Citrus maxima (pomelo). RNAcentral's name for it is "long non-coding RNA (CMAX_LNC001116)". Lineage: Eukaryota; Viridiplantae; Streptophyta; Magnoliopsida; Sapindales; Rutaceae. The record is from RNAcentral.
AGUACUUAUAUUUUUAUCUGCAUUCUUGCCGGUUGAAAGAGAUGAAGGAGAACAAACUUAAUAGAACAAUGCAGUCCGACCAAUCAAUAUCAACCAGCAGUACUAAAUGGAUCAAGAAACUAUAUUGGGUGCGGAUCCGAAUAGCCAUUCACGCAUUCUUUGUUCUGUCAGGCCACGCAGCGGCUGCUCUAUUGGGAAGGAGGAAAUAGCGAAUGGCUAGCAACAGUAAUGCAACUUACAGGCUUCCCAAUUCUCUUGCCUUUCUACUACUGCAUGAAGUUUCACAAAGAAGCAAAAAUCCCAAUGCAGAAUCGGAAAUUGUAUUUGACCAACUAAAGACAAAAACAAUAAAGCCACCAAACCUUACCUUAGCCUAGGCAUAAUCAGAGCAGCAGAUUGCUUUCUCUAUUCAAUUGGGCUCAUCUGUCUUCCAGUUUCAACAUUUUCCAUUGUCUGUGCAUCUCAAUCGACCUCCAAUUCUUUCUUCACGUUCUUCCUCAAUAAGCAGAUGUUUACUCCAUACAUAAUCAACUCACUAGUCCCUCUCGCCAUCUCGACCACCCUCCUCGUUUUCCAAAGCGGCUCUGAAAAUACAACUAAAAAUAUGCAAUUGGAUUCGUAUGCAAUGUACCGUUGGCGCAUCAGCUGGGUAUGGAUGUUAUAAAGAGGGAAACGUUUACAGCUGCCUUGGAUAUGGUAAUAUGUUCGUUUUUCGUCUGUGGUGGGACUUUUUGGUAGCAGAGAGAGAUGGAAGAGUGUCAACAUGGGAAAGUAUCUUCUUAUGUCAUGAAUUUGGUUUGGUCAGCAAUAUGUUGGCAGCUGUUUAAAUAAUGGCUCAACAGGAUUGAUUUUUGAGGCGGCUUCACUUUUCUCCAAUGCCAUAUAUGUGCGCACUGAGCUUGCCUGUUGUUCCAGUCCUAGCAGUAGCAGUGGUCUUUUUCCAUGAGCUUGAAAGUGAUUUCAAUGGUAUUAGCUAUAUGGAUCUCUGUUCCGUUUCUGUACCAGCUGUUUCGUUUCUGUACCAGCAUAAGCCUGAACAAGUUUCCCAAGCUUUAAUGUAUAUAUGGAUGAGAAAAAUUUAAUAAACAAGAAAGG